UGUAAUCUUGUUUCGUCGCGUAAGAAAAGCGAGAGGGCGGAAACGACGAGUUGCAUUCAAAGAAAAUUAUUUGCACCCACGCCGAUGAAUCUUUCUCUCUCUUUCCCUUAUACAUAUGUGUUUCAUCGGCACUCGCCGCACCCUAAGAUUCUGUUUGUUGAUAAAAUAGGAUCACCGUGUAUCCUUCACACUAGUCACGGGAGUUUGUCUAUCGUGACAUAGGAUCGAAAGUAGCCGAUCGUAGAUCAAUUUAUUCUCAUCCGGAAAAUUGGAAAACGUUUUGGUCAUUUUAAAUUGCUAGUCGUGGAAUUAUUAAAAAGUUUCAUCAAUACGAUCGAUCAAUUUGUUCGAUUUUCAAAAUUUAUGCAAUAAUUCUUUUCCGAUGAUCUAAUAGUAUAAAAUGUAAAUUAUUCCACGCCAUAAUCAAAAAGUAACGUAAUUUGAAGAGAAUAAUUUGUCAUAUUAUCUUUUAUUUAACGAGUCAAAAAAUGUAUCGAUAACUUAUGACAUUGAUGUGACUUUAUCAUGGCACAUACGCGUUACGUAUAUCUUUGUCGUUAAUUCGUACGUAACCAUAUUUCCGAACGAUGAAAAGCUAAAAAAAGAACAUGCUAGGAGAAAUAGUAUUAGAAAAAUUAAAAAAAAUAUAUAUAUAUACGAUAUAGGAAAUAUCGAUUGAUAAUGCCCAAGGCGAUGAAAAUUUCGAUGAAAGAAUAUAGCUUAGAGUCGAAUUGAUCCUUUCACCUUGGAAACUUACUAACUACCUUCUCCCUUUAAAAUUGUUCCUCUAGGGAGUCUUGAUAGUAGCCGAGCGGAAGCGGAAGCUUCGCGGUCGCGCGUCGUUGCUUCCGAUAAGCCGAACAACGAACAGCAGCUCUUCAUGUUAGAAAUCUUCGCCUUCGAAGAGAAUGAGGAUGAGAGAGAGAGAGAGAGAGAGAUUUGUGAACAUCAUCCGGACGUAUAGACGUAGUUAAGUACGACGCAAUUCGAGCGACGAAAUUUCAAAGAUCGAUCGUUUAAACGCCGAGCAUUUACGCUCUCUUGAAUGUACAUUGAGGAGGAUUUCACAAGUUUACUAUACUCAACGUUAUCUAUAUUCUCUAGUGAAACGUGUACGUAAGCAGAUAAUUCGAUGCAACUUAAGAACUGAUCCGUAUGUAUUGGAAAUUACUUUGACUUAAGGUGAAAUAUGCGAACAUAACUUUGUAAGGUUUGAAAAAUGAAUGAACAGUUUGCGAAUUACGCAGCUUCGAAAUACCUAUCGUUGGACUUUACUGGGUAGUAUCUAAAGAAAGUAGAAAAGAUAGAUAGAGUGGAAAGAUUCUGAAGAUGGUACAGAGACGGGGUGGAUCGAAUGUUGGAAAGAAAGAAACACGGAGAGAGAAAGAGAGAGAGAGAGGGAGAAAAAGGAGCAGCCGUUAAAGGUGUGAUACGAAAGGAACGUCGAGAAAGAGAGAAAGAGAGAGAGAGAGAACACGAGGUGAUAUUUCUCGCGAAGCUGAACCGAAUAAAUUUUUAACAAAAACUGCUGACUCGCUACAUUACGCUUCUUUCUCUCCUCUUCUUUUCUUUACGACCGGCCCGUCGCCUAUCUUUUUCGUCCCGCGCAGUCGUUUCUUUAUUUUUUUUUUUUUUCAUUUCUCCCUUAACUCAACCUUUCCAGGACGUAGUGCAUAUAUGCAUGCAUACAAAGAUAGAUACAUACGUACAUACGUUACCACGUAACUAUGCUUUUGAAUCUAGUCGCUUCUAUCGACAUACCUGCGAGAUAUUGUUAAUACAUUCGAUAGGCACAGAAUCAGAGAGGGAGAAAGAGAGAGAGAGAAAGUCCGAACUAAACGAGAAAAGCAGGCGAGUACUUGGGAAGAACGGUUUUCCCUUUGAUUCCGCAAGCUUUCCUGACCGCGCGCUCAAACGAUCGCGGCAUACCGCGAUGGAAUACUCAUCGUUUUUCACAAACCGGAUUCCAGGAGUCUACCACCGAAAAUGGCCUGCUCUCGUGCAUAUAUACAUACAUAAAUAUACACAUAUACAUAACGUACAUAUAUACAUUUAGCUUCAUUCGCCAGUAAUAUUAUGAAUAAGAUCCCAAAAUGAUGAAACGUAGUGAGAUUCAGCGUACAUACUCCCGUUCAGUUAGCGGGUAAUAUUAUGCAACGUUUCCUGUUCACGUUUAAAGUGUAAUUAACAUAUUCGCCAUUGAAAGCAAACGAGGCCAAAUCCCGAAUGGAGCUAACGGAACGGGUACGGCCAGGGCGGGCGUAUUGAGUAAAAACGUUUUACGGAUUGUACCGGGGAAUCUCUCGAAUCGAGAAACAGACGUAACGCCGCGCGCGCGAACGAACCAACCAACCAACCAACCAACCAACCAACCAACGAACGAACCAGCGAACGAACCAGAGAACGAACGAACAGGAGGCAGAAGAGAGGAGAUAGUGCAAGAGAGAAGGACGGCUAAAAACCCCCUCGAGGUUUCGACUCAGCAUCCCACGAUAUCUACAUCUAUUUUUGGCCACGGUCAGCUGUAGUUGCACGGCAUUAGCAUAAUGAAGACGGUUCGUCUCGUCUCCUCUUCUCUCCUUUCCUCUCCUCUCCUCUCCUCUCCUCUUUUUCCAUCCUUGUCUCUCUUUAUUCUAUACUAUCUGCCGUUUCUUCUCUCCCUUUCUCGCACGAUCUAUCUAUUCAUCUCUUUUGCGCGUGCAGCCUCGUUGUCGUCUCUCCUUCCCUUUCUAUUUCCCCCCUCCCUCCUUCCUACUACCACCACCACCACCAUCACCACCAUCACCCAUCUACCACCACUACUAUAUUUUUCUCUCUUUCACUCCUCUUCACAAGCAAACCGAGUGGUUCGGUUACUCCGUUGACACCGUUGCUGCUACUGCUACGAGUAAAUGCGAGAGUAGCCGGUGCCGGAUGGACCGAGAGGGAAUAUAAAGGCCAUGGGAUGGAAUGAGUGGACGAGAGAAUAAGAGAAAGAGAGAGAAA
This 2985-nucleotide long non-coding RNA is filed under the name Polistes fuscatus (common paper wasp). Its description in RNAcentral is "uncharacterized LOC122526436, transcript variant X3". The record is from RNAcentral. Lineage: Eukaryota; Metazoa; Arthropoda; Insecta; Hymenoptera; Vespidae.